RNAcentral lists this transfer RNA (76 nucleotides) under Paracoccaceae bacterium. RNAcentral's name for it is "Rhodobacteraceae bacterium tRNA-Thr". It matches the Rfam family "tRNA". Rfam says of the family: Transfer RNA (tRNA) molecules are approximately 80 nucleotides in length. Their secondary structure includes four short double-helical elements and three loops (D, anti-codon, and T loops). The record is from RNAcentral. Lineage: Bacteria; Pseudomonadati; Pseudomonadota; Alphaproteobacteria; Rhodobacterales; Paracoccaceae.
GCCGUUGUAGCUCAGCAGGUAGAGCAUAUCAUUCGUAAUGAUGGGGUCGGGGGUUCGAGUCCCUCCAGCGGCACCA